Molecule: long non-coding RNA, 681 nt
Filed under: Hordeum vulgare
Lineage: Eukaryota; Viridiplantae; Streptophyta; Magnoliopsida; Poales; Poaceae
Description: long non-coding RNA (HVUL_LNC010814)
Source: RNAcentral
UAUAUUUAGGAACGGAGGGAGUAUUAGUUUAUGAAAUUUCCCUUUUAUUGUACUGUGCUACUGCUCUGAAUCCAGAAACACCUCUAGCCUAGAUAGUGCAAAAGGUGUUCCGGUGCAGUACUUGGUCAAGAACCACAGUUGCUACUAGCUAAUGGACGACCACGCCGACACGGGGAAAUGUUGGGCAGGCCCGAGCACUCCAAAUAGUUUUUAUGAUAUUUUUCUUUUGGAGUGUGACUAAUUUUGGUGGAGGUGCCACCAACUCACCAAGGCCAGCUAUGUCAAUAAGAGUACGUACGUAAACCGUGUGAAGAUGGGCAAGAACCUGUUUUAUUUGUCAACAAUCCACGGUCCAAAAGCUUGAAUUGGUUCACCUUUGACACAGACUAAUUAAUCGGUCAGUCAGGGCGCCACACUUCCCAUCGUCGCGAUGCCGAUUGGGGUGCGUUUGGUCGUGGAGGAACAGCUAGGUGGUCUCUCUGAGUUGAAUGGAGUAUAAGUCAGCCUGUCACUGGAUUUUAUUAACGAACCAUGGCACCCUGGAGUUGCCGGUACCAACCAACAUGGGCUGCCAAGGAUGGCUCCCACGAACGCGCCUUCGGCGAUGGAGGAGUUGUUGGUCAGGGGCACACAAACGGUAACUAGAAUUUGUUUUGGUCUACCGAUGCGUCAAACAGCGCA